AAUAAUACGAUAUUAUGAUUGAUGAACUUGGUUAAGAGUAUCACAUAAUGUGUUAUGAAACUCUUGUCCAAAAUUUAAUCAUGCGAUGUUUGAUAUUGUGAAAAAUCACAAACAAAUACCACUGCUUAUCGCAGUUGUGAUAUGAUUGCAGAGAAAUAAAAAAUUGACAUCGUAGGAGCAUACCAUUUUUUUAGAACCUUGCACUUAUGUUUCAUUUCAUAUUCUUAUACACAAUAUUAAAUAACAAUAAUUUUUUUCUUCUCAGGAAUCCAUGGACAACAUAACCCUCUUCUCAGUAAUAACAGUCAUGUCAUUCUUCCUAUCAGUACCUAUAGCCCUCUUCAUGGAGGGUGUUAAAUUUACCCCUGCUUACCUGCAAUCUACAGUAAGAACUUCUUUGUUGAAAAUGAUUGGUACUGCUGUUAGCAUUCUCAAAUCAAAAUACAUUACUCUUUCCGUAACAAAAUUAAGCAAAAAAGUACAUACAUGGAUCAAAUCCAUGUAAUUUUUUAUUUAUAGUUUUGUUACUGAGUGAGUAUUUUGAUGAUGCUACUAAUAUAUGAUUGAUGUCAUUUUUAUUCACAGGGAUUAGAUGUUCAACAAGUGUACAUUAGAUCUCUUCUUGCUGCGCUUUGUUACCAUGCGUAUCAGCAAGUGAGUUUUCAUCUUCUAUGCACAUUAUAUUUUCCCCUUUUAUUCAAGAGUGUUACAAUUUCCACUUCUUUUUGUGAAAAAAUAAAUCAAGACUUCAUUAGUUAUAAUUCACUGAAAACAAAAUAAAAUUAUUUAGUAUGAAAUGGUUUAUCAUAUGUGCAGGUUUCUUAUAUGAUAUUGGAGAGAGUAUCACCUGUUACUCAUUCUGUAGCAAACUGUCUGAAGCGUGUGAUAGUUAUAGUGAGCUCUGUCAUAUUUUUCCAAACACCUGUCUCACCAAUUAACGCAUUAGGUACUAAAAUAAAAUUGCUUCCUUCUUUUUAACCAUAUAUAUCUCUUGUUGAAACUGAAAAUUUUAUGUGCUUAUUAAUUCUCUGCAGG
RNAcentral lists this long non-coding RNA (1035 nucleotides) under Medicago truncatula (barrel medic). RNAcentral's name for it is "long non-coding RNA (MTRU_LNC002383)". The record is from RNAcentral. Lineage: Eukaryota; Viridiplantae; Streptophyta; Magnoliopsida; Fabales; Fabaceae.